Molecule: ribosomal RNA, 253 nt
Filed under: uncultured bacterium
Lineage: Bacteria
Description: partial 16S ribosomal RNA
Rfam family: Bacterial small subunit ribosomal RNA
Source: RNAcentral
UACGUAGGGAGCAAGCGUUGUCCGGAAUCAUUGGGCGUAAAGCGCGCGUAGGUGGCCUCAUAAGUCCGUUGUGAAAGUCAAAGGCUCAACCUUUGAAAGCCGAUGGAUACUGUGAGGCUAGAGUACGGAAGAGGCGAGUGGAAUUCCUGGUGUAGCGGUGGAAUGCGCAGAUAUCAGGAGGAACCCCAAUGGCGAAGGCAGCUCGCCGGGACGUUACUGACACUAAGGCGCGAAUGCGUGGGGAGCGAACAGG